UACGUAGGCAGCAAGCGUUGUUCGGAGUUACUGGGCGUAAAGGGUGUGUAGGCGGUUUUCUAAGUCUGGUGUGAAAUCUCCCGGCUCAACUGGGAGGGUGCGCCGAAAACUGGAAGGCUAGAGUGCGGGAUGGGAGAGUGGAAUUCCUGGUGUAGCGGUGAAAUGCGCAGAUAUCAGGAGGAACACCCGUGGCGAAAGCGGCUCUCUGGGACGGUACUGACGCUGAGACGCGAAAGCGUGGGGAGCAAACAGG
This 253-nucleotide ribosomal RNA is filed under the name uncultured bacterium. Its description in RNAcentral is "partial 16S ribosomal RNA". It matches the Rfam family "Bacterial small subunit ribosomal RNA", at positions 524 to 776 of the family's 1533-position model. The record is from RNAcentral.